This 456-nucleotide ribosomal RNA is filed under the name uncultured bacterium. Its description in RNAcentral is "bacterial SSU rRNA". It matches the Rfam family "Bacterial small subunit ribosomal RNA", at positions 340 to 786 of the family's 1533-position model. The record is from RNAcentral.
UACGGGAGGCAGCAGUGGGGAAUAUUGCACAAUGGGCGAAAGCCUGAUGCAGCUAUGCCGCGUGUAUGAAGAAGGCCUUAGGGUUGUAAAGUACUUUCAUCGGGGAGGAAAAACAAAACUAAUAAUUUUAUUUCUUGACGUUACCCGAAAAAGAAGCACCGGCUAACUCCGUGCCAGCAGCCGCGGUAAUACGGAGGGUGCUAGCGUUAAUCAGAAUUACUGGGCGUAAAGAGCACGUAGGUGGUUUUUUUAAGUCAGAUGUGAAAUCCCUGGGCUUAACCUAGGAACUGCAUUUUGAAACUGAAAUACUAGAGUAUCGUAGAGGGAGGUAGAAUUCUAGGUGUAGCGGUGAAAUGCGUAGAUAUCUGGAGGAAUACCUGUGGCGAAAGCGGCCUCCUAAACGAAUACUGACACUGAGGUGCGAAAGGCGUGGGGAGCAAACAGGGAUUAGAUACC